This 468-nucleotide ribosomal RNA is filed under the name uncultured bacterium. RNAcentral's name for it is "partial 16S ribosomal RNA". It matches the Rfam family "Bacterial small subunit ribosomal RNA", at positions 28 to 507 of the family's 1533-position model. The record is from RNAcentral.
GACGAACGCUGGCGGCGUGCUUAACACAUGCAAGUCGAACGGAAAGGCCCUGCUUUUGUGGGGUGCUCGAGUGGCGAACGGGUGAGUAACACGUGAGUAACCUGCCCUUGACUUUGGGAUAACUUCAGGAAACUGGGGCUAAUACCGGAUAGGAGCUCCUGCGGCAUGGGGGGGGUUGGAAAGGUUCGGCGGUUGGGGAUGGACUCGCGGGUUAUCAGCUUGUUGGUGGGGUAGUGGCUUACCAAGGCUUUGACGGGUAGCCGGCCUGAGAGGGUGACCGGCAACAUUGGGACUGAGAUACGGCCCAGACGCCUACGGGAGGCAGCAGUGGGGAAAAUUGCACAAUGGGCGGAAGCCUGAUGCAGCAACGCCGCGUGCGGGAUGACGGCCUUCGGGUUGUAAACCGCUUUCGCCUGUGACGAAGCGUGAGUGACGGUAAUGGGUAAAGAAGCACCGGCUAACUACGUG